UUUUAAAACCCUAAAACGGCUGGAGUCAUAUUCUAACUCAUUCCUAUCAACAUUCCUCUCAAUUUUAAUCCUUGGCUGAUUUGGGUUGAUUGAUUUCUGGGUUUUAUUGUUCUUAGUCUAAUCAAGAGACCCGUCGACUGCUCGUGCUUCGGAGUCUAUGCAGGAUUAGCUGUUUGCCAAGAUUUACGUGGAUAAGCAAGCAGUUUAUGAUUUGAAAGCUGGUCCACUCCGAUUCUUUUGAUUCUUCGGAGGUUUUUAUGUUAUUUAACUAGUUACUGUUUUCGAACUCUUAGACCGCAGUAGAACUAGUUUAUUUAUUACAUCUGAUAUUACACUUUGGAAUUGUCGAUAUAUUCGAUUAUUUAUAUUUGGCAUGAUUACUCCGGAUUACGAUAUUGUUAUAUAUAAGGCAUGCUGUUGAACAUUUAAGAUAUUUAAGUUAUUUAUAUUUGAACUGUAUUAUAAAUUGCUAGACCUAGGUUGGAGUCUCGGUUGCCCCCGAGCAGUUUUCUGCAGGUUUAAAUGUUUAUUUGAUUUCUGCGAGGCUUGCUACGGGUUUUGGUACAACCAUACCCAUACCCUAGCGCCGGUCACGAUUCAUGAAAUUGGGUCGUGACA
Mercurialis annua (annual mercury) is the source of this 618-nucleotide long non-coding RNA. RefSeq lists it as uncharacterized. Lineage: Eukaryota; Viridiplantae; Streptophyta; Magnoliopsida; Malpighiales; Euphorbiaceae. The record is from RefSeq and is a predicted model, not a curated record. The transcript is spliced from 4 exons.